RNAcentral lists this ribosomal RNA (253 nucleotides) under uncultured bacterium. Its description in RNAcentral is "partial 16S ribosomal RNA". It matches the Rfam family "Bacterial small subunit ribosomal RNA", at positions 524 to 776 of the family's 1533-position model. The record is from RNAcentral.
UACGUAGGGUGCGAGCGUUAAUCGGAAUUACUGGGCGUAAAGCGUGCGCAGGCGGUUCGUUGUGUCGGUGGUGAAAUCCCCGGGCUUAACCUGGGAAUGGCCAUGGAAACUGGCGAACUGGAGUGCGGCAGAGGGGGGUGGAAUUCCGCGUGUAGCAGUGAAAUGCGUAGAGAUGCGGAGGAACACCGAUGGCGAAGGCAGCCCCCUGGGCUAGCACUGACGCUCAGGCAGGAAAGCGUGGGGAGCAAACAGG